CCUACGAGCGGCAGCAGUGGGGAAUAUUGGGCAAUGGGCGCAAGCCUGACCCAGCAACGCCGCGUGAAGGAAGAAGGCUUUCGGGUUGUAAACUUCUUUUGUCAGGGACGAAGCAAGUGACGGUACCUGACGAAUAAGCCACGGCUAACUACGUGCCAGCAGCCGCGGUACUACGUAGGUGGCAAGCGUUAUCCGGAUUUACUGGGUGUAAAGGGCGUGUAGGCGGGGAAGCAAGUCAGAUGUGAAAACCACGGGCUGAACCUGUGGCCUGCAUUUGAAACUGUUUUUCUUGAGUACUGGAGAGGCAGACGGAAUUCCUAGUGUAGAGGUGAAAUGCGUAGAUAUUAGGAGGAACACCAGUGGCGAAGGCGGUCUGCUGGACAGCAACUGACGCUGAGGCGCGAAAGCGUGGGGAGCAAACAGGAGUAGAUACCCGGGUAGUC
This 443-nucleotide ribosomal RNA is filed under the name uncultured bacterium. Its description in RNAcentral is "partial 16S ribosomal RNA". It matches the Rfam family "Bacterial small subunit ribosomal RNA", at positions 338 to 795 of the family's 1533-position model. The record is from RNAcentral.